GCCCUAGUAACGGCGAGUGAAGCGGCAACAGCUCAAAUUUGAAAUCUGGCGUCUUCGGCGUCCGAGUUGUAAUUUGCAGAGGGCGCUUUGGCAUUGGCAGCGGUCCAAGUUCCUUGGAACAGGACGUCACAGAGGGUGAGAAUCCCGUACGUGGUCGCUAGCCUUUACCGUGUAAAGCCCCUUCGACGAGUCGAGUUGUUUGGGAAUGCAGCUCUAAAUGGGAGGUAAAUUUCUUCUAAAGCUAAAUACUGGCCAGAGACCGAUAGCGCACAAGUAGAGUGAUCGAAAGAUGAAAAGCACUUUGGAAAGAGAGUUAAAAAGCACGUGAAAUUGUUGAAAGGGAAGCGCUUGCAGCCAGACUUGCCUGUAGUUGCUCAUCCGGGUUUCUACCCGGUGCACUCUUCUAUAGGCAGGCCAGCAUCAGUUUGGGCGGUUGGAUAAAGGUCUCUGUCAUGUCCUCUCUUCGGGGAGAACUUAUAGGGGAGACGACAUGCAACCAGCCUGGACUGAGGUCCGCGCAUCUGCUAGGAUGCUGGCGUAAUGGCUGUAAGCGGCCCGUCUUGAAACACGGACCAAGGAGUCUAACAUCUAUGCGAGUGUUUGGGUGUCAAGCCCGAGCGCGUAAUGAAAGUGAACGGAGGUGGGAACCUUUCGGGGUGCACCAUCGACCGAUCCUGAUGUCUUCGGAUGGAUUUGAGUAAGAGCAUAGCUGUUGGGACCCGAAAGAUGGUGAACUAUGCUUGAAUAGGGUGAAGCCAGAGGAAACUCUGGUGGAGGCUCGCAG
Molecule: ribosomal RNA, 784 nt
Filed under: uncultured fungus
Lineage: Eukaryota; Fungi
Description: LSU rRNA
Rfam family: Eukaryotic large subunit ribosomal RNA
Source: RNAcentral